This 425-nucleotide ribosomal RNA is filed under the name uncultured bacterium. RNAcentral describes it as "partial 16S ribosomal RNA". It matches the Rfam family "Bacterial small subunit ribosomal RNA", at positions 354 to 796 of the family's 1533-position model. The record is from RNAcentral.
GUGGGGAAUAUUGGACAAUGGGCGAAAGCCUGAUCCAGCAAUGCCGCGUGAGUGAAGAAGGCCUUAGGGUUGUAAAGCUCUUUUACCCGGGAAGAUAAUGACUGUACCGGGAGAAUAAGCUCCGGCUAACUCCGUGCCAGCAGCCGCUGUAAUACGGAGGGAGCUAGCGUUGUUCGGAAUCACUGGGCGUAAAGCGCACGUAGGCGGCUUUGUAAGUUAGAGGUGAAAGCCCGGGGCUCAACUCCGAAACUGCCUUUAAGACUGCAUCGAUUGAAUCUGGGAGAGGUAAGUGGAAUUCCGAGUGUAGAGGUGAAAUUCGUAGAUAUUCGGAAGAACACCAGUGGCGAAGGCGGCUUACUGGACCAGAAUUGACGCUGAGGUGCGAAAGCGUGAGGAGCAAACAGGAUUAGAUACCCUAGUAGUCC